RNAcentral lists this ribosomal RNA (250 nucleotides) under uncultured prokaryote. RNAcentral describes it as "partial 16S rRNA". It matches the Rfam family "Bacterial small subunit ribosomal RNA", at positions 525 to 775 of the family's 1533-position model. The record is from RNAcentral.
ACGUGGGGGGCAAGCGUUAUCCGGAAUUAUUGGGCGUAAAGAGUGCGUAGGUGGUUUUUUAAGCGUGAGGUGAAAGGCAAUAGCUUAACUAUUGUACGCCUUGCGAACUGGAAGACUUGAGUGCAGGAGAGGAAGAUGGAAUUUCUGGUGUAGCGGUGAAAUGCGUAGAUAUUAGGAGGAACACCAAUUGCGAAGGCGACUUUCUGGACUGUAACUGACACUGAUGCACGAAAGCGUGGGGAGCAAACAG